RNAcentral lists this transfer RNA (73 nucleotides) under Propionibacteriaceae bacterium. RNAcentral describes it as "tRNA-Lys". It matches the Rfam family "tRNA". From Rfam's summary of the family: Transfer RNA (tRNA) molecules are approximately 80 nucleotides in length. Their secondary structure includes four short double-helical elements and three loops (D, anti-codon, and T loops). The record is from RNAcentral. Lineage: Bacteria; Bacillati; Actinomycetota; Actinomycetes; Propionibacteriales; Propionibacteriaceae.
GCCCCUAUAGCUCAGUUGGUAGAGCUGCGGACUUUUAAUCCGUAGGUCGUGGGUUCGAGUCCCACUGGGGGUA